Molecule: long non-coding RNA, 518 nt
Filed under: Bos taurus (domestic cattle)
Lineage: Eukaryota; Metazoa; Chordata; Mammalia; Artiodactyla; Bovidae
Description: long non-coding RNA NONBTAT011154
Source: RNAcentral
AAAAAUGUUCCUACUUUGGAGUGAAGGUAAAGUUUCAAAUUACCCAGCCAAUUUUGUUUUUCAGUUACAUGAUAAUCUUCUUCAUACCACAGACCUUUCAUUUAUGAAUUUCAGUUAUUCUGUCAGGUGAAUCAUGAACCUUGAUAUUAGAGGGAAAAAAAAAAACUUACCCUGUAAAAGUUUUUACUUACUCAAUAUCAGUUUGGAUGUUUUUUUCUGAAUUUUGUUCAUGUGGAAACUUAAUUCCAGGACAUCUUGAUUUGAAUCAGGUAAACCAAUCAAGCAAUUUAAAAAGAGAUAAAUGGCCAAGUCAGUUCCUAUUUAAACUGAAUGUAUUAAAUGCUUACCAGUGAAAUUUCUGGAGAUUAGUAGAAUAUUUAGUGCAAUUCUAAAGCUUCUGCUCUCAAAUUCUGUCUUUGGCAUGACAUAAUAGCUGAAAAUUUUUUCUUUUAGGUUGUUGGUUCAUAAUGUAGAAUUAAUGUAUUUUAAUAUAAGCAUGAUAUUUAUGAUCAAAAGGA